RNAcentral lists this transfer RNA (23 nucleotides) under Gnidia fastigiata. Its description in RNAcentral is "tRNA-Leu(UAA)". The record is from RNAcentral. Lineage: Eukaryota; Viridiplantae; Streptophyta; Magnoliopsida; Malvales; Thymelaeaceae.
AAAAUCCGGUCCCUCUAUCCCCA